UGGGGAAUUUUGGACAAUGGGGGACACCCUGAUCCAGCCAUGCCGCGUGAGUGAAGAAGGCCUUCGGGUUGUAAAGCUCUUUCAGACGGAAAGAAACGGUCACGAUUAAUACCCGUGACUAAUGACGGUACCGUCAGAAGAAGCACCGGCUAACUACGUGCCAGCAGCCGCGGUAAUACGUAGGGUGCGAGCGUUAAUCGGAAUUACUGGGCGUAAAGCGUGCGCAGGCGGUUUUGUAAGACAGACGUGAAAUCCCCGGGCUUAACCUGGGAACUGCGUUUGUGACUGCAAGGCUAGAGUGUGGCAGAGGGGGGUAGAAUUCCACGUGUAGCAGUGAAAUGCGUAGAUAUGUGGAGGAAUACCGAUGGCGAAGGCAGCCCCCUGGGUCAACACUGACGCUCAUGCACGAAAGCGUGGGGAGCAAACAGG
Molecule: ribosomal RNA, 429 nt
Filed under: uncultured beta proteobacterium
Lineage: Bacteria; Pseudomonadati; Pseudomonadota; Betaproteobacteria
Description: bacterial SSU rRNA
Rfam family: Bacterial small subunit ribosomal RNA
Source: RNAcentral